This 363-nucleotide ribosomal RNA is filed under the name uncultured bacterium. Its description in RNAcentral is "bacterial SSU rRNA". It matches the Rfam family "Bacterial small subunit ribosomal RNA", at positions 29 to 417 of the family's 1533-position model. The record is from RNAcentral.
AACGAACGCUGGCGGCAUGCCUAACACAUGCAAGUCGAACGAAGGCUUCGGCCUUAGUGGCGCACGGGUGAGUAGCGCGUGGGAACCUGCCCUGUUGUGGGGAUAACCGAGGGAACCUCGGCUAAUACCGCAUGAGCCGGAGAAAUCCGGGAAAGAUUUAUCGCCAAAGGAUCGGCCCGCGUCUGAUUAGCUUGUUGGUGAGGUAAUGGCUCACCAAGGCGACGAUCAGUAGCUGGUCUGAGAGGAUGAUCAGCCACACUGGGACUGAGACACGGCCCAGACUCCUACGGGAGGCAGCAGUGGGGAAUAUUGGACAAUGGGCGCAAGCCUGAUCCAGCCAUGCCGCGUGAGUGAUGAAGGCCC